GACGAACGCUGGCGGCGUGCUUAACACAUGCAAGUCGAACGGAAAGACCCUGCUUUUGUGGGGUGCUCGAGUGGCGAACGGGUGAGUAACACGUGAGUAACCUGCCCUUGACUUUGGGAUAACUUCAGGAAACUGGGGCUAAUACCGGAUAGGAGCUCCUGCUGCAUGGUGGGGGUUGGAAUGUUUCGGCGGUUGGGGAUGGACUCGCGGCUUAUCAGCUUGUUGGUGGGGUAGUGGCUUACCAAGGCUUUGACGGGUAGCCGGCCUGAGAGGGUGACCGGCCACAUUGGGACUGAGAUACGGCACAGACUCCUACGGGAGGCAGCAGUGGGGAAUAUUGCACAAUGGGCGGAAGACUGAUGCAGCAACGCAGCGUGCGGGAUGACGGCCUUAGGGUUGUAAACCGCUUUCGCCUGUGACGAAGCGUGAGUGACGGUAAUGGGUAAAGAAGCACCGGCUAACUACGUG
This 468-nucleotide ribosomal RNA is filed under the name uncultured bacterium. Its description in RNAcentral is "partial 16S ribosomal RNA". It matches the Rfam family "Bacterial small subunit ribosomal RNA", at positions 28 to 507 of the family's 1533-position model. The record is from RNAcentral.